UCGGCUGUUAAUGUGGAGGUGUUUGGUGUUAAUAGGAUCUCAAAAUCUUUUAGAAUUAAGUGAAUUGAAACUUAAUACGUUUCCUCGUCAAAUUCAACGUCAUGCUUUUGUCAGGGAUAUUAUCUAUGGAAUAUGAAUUAAACGACUAGUGAACAACGCGAGCCAACUGUCUAUUAUUUGAAGUGUCAUAGACGAUAGAUGUAUAAAUUAUCUAAAUGAAUUGUGCUGUCAUAUGUUACGUCUGGAAUCUUUUUAUUUGUUUCAGUUCUAGAUGCCUGUCAUAUGUGUUUUGAAUUAAUACCGGUAUGUUGUUUUUAUUUUUGUGCUUAACCGCAUCUGUGCGGAUGUAUUAUACUGGUGGCGAUGUAUUUUUUGGGCAGGGGUUCAUGUUUUUGCACAGCGCCCCUAUAUAUAUAUAUAUAUAUUAUUGUUAUUAUUUUGCUCACGGUUAGGCCCUACCGAACCACGUGCAGUUUUUUGUCUGUGUCCAUAGUACUACCAUUCUUAAAGAAUAGGCUCAUUUACGCUCUUCAGACCAACCUGUUCUUCGAUUUUUCUGCCAGACCAGUUGGGUCAUUCCAUGCUAAACUGAGCCUGAGGCUUAUUUUUUGGAAAAAUGCCAAAUUUAACGAUGUUAUAGUUUUUCGAAUCUACAAAAGUUGAAUUUUACUGUUCUGAAAAAAUUAUAAAAAUUACAUAAUUAGCUGAGGAAAUAUAGUUAAACGAAGUUGGCGAUUCUACAGAUGGGGAUGGAAAACAAAAGGUUUGCUUUUUGUGUUGGCAGCUGUUUAAAUUUGGGUUGCAGCGAUUGUUGAUGUUUUAAUUGUUAAAUUUCAAGAGCAGAAUCUUAUCUUUCUGACAAACUUCAGUUUUUAAAGAAAGAAAAUGGGGAAAACAACAUCAGCAGUGCGUAUGAGAAAACUUCGAGAAAAACUGAAGUAAGAUACCAGCAAGUACAAUGUCCAUAAAGAAAAAGAAAGAGAGCAGGAUAAGAGAAGAAGGGAAAAUAUGAAGAUGAAGGUAUCCUCCAGUGGAAAAUCUUUAUUGGAAUAUCAGUAGAAGGAAGCUGAAAGAAAAAGGAAGUACAGACUUAAACUAAAGUCCGUAUUAGUUGAAGAUCAGUCUGAGACCUGUAUUUCCCAGUUAGGAUCAUAUAAAUGUCCUCAGUCCCUUGGCAAAGCUGUUUCUCGGGUAAAGAAGGUGCUUCCUUCAAGCCCCUCAAAAGAAUCAGCAGUAAUAAAAAAGCUUGUAAGUGAAAGCUUACCUAAAAAGGUAGUAAAGCAGAUUUUCCCAGUAGUGAAGAAAACAUCUCGUAAGCUUACAGGUGAUAAUCUGCUCAAAAUACAAAAUUUUUUCACAAAUGAUGAAAUCGGCAGGCAGACACCUGGUAUAAAGGAUGUAAAGUCUAUUGUAGACCAUGAAACCGGGAAAAGAGUUAGCUUGCAUAAAUGUCACAUGAAUAUGACAGUUAAGGAAGCAUUUUUUUCUUUUUAAGCAAGACAAUCCAGAUAUUGCUAUAAAGAUUUCAAAAUUCUACGAGUUGCGGCCAAAAAAUGUUGUUCUAACGUCUCAAAUGCCUUGCAAUGUAUGUGUGUGCAGAUAUCAUGCUAACUUCAACUUCAUCAUUGAAGCCAUUCACAAAGAAAUAGCUAGUUUCCCUGCUACUCACACUCACCUUAUGGAUCUUGUUUGCUGUGAUGUAGAAAGUGAAAUAUGCAUGACAAGUCAGUGCAAGAAAUGCUUCAUGAAUUUACACACAUUAAUAGAUGGAAAGUUUGAUUUGUGUGACAUAAUAUCUUGGAGAAAAUGGACCGAACAUGAGUGUCACCCUAAACAGACUACUACCAGUGGAACACUUUGUGAAGCUCUCUCUGAACUUCAGUCUCAACUAAAAACAUUCAAGGAACA
Long non-coding RNA from Schistocerca cancellata (South American locust), 1908 nucleotides. RefSeq lists it as uncharacterized. The record is from RefSeq and is a predicted model, not a curated record. The transcript is spliced from 2 exons. NCBI's taxonomy places the organism in Eukaryota, Metazoa, Arthropoda, Insecta, Orthoptera, Acrididae.